This 275-nucleotide unclassified non-coding RNA is filed under the name Hevea brasiliensis (rubber tree). The record is from RNAcentral. Lineage: Eukaryota; Viridiplantae; Streptophyta; Magnoliopsida; Malpighiales; Euphorbiaceae.
GUCUUGAAGGGUAGAAUUUUUUAGCUCUUGAUGUAAGCAGUGAAUCAGGUUACAAAAAUAAAAUCACAUCUGCUACUCCAAAUGCAUACGUAAACAAUUAUCAUUUUCAUUUGCAUAUUCUAGUAUGGGUUGGGAAAUGGGCUUUCCAAAUAGAAUCAUUAUUUUUCAUAUUCACAUCUGAAUUAACAAGUCUAGAUUGAUGAACUAGAGACGAGUAUGCAUGAUACAUCAAAUACCUUUCAAAAUUUUAAAUAAAAGGAACCACUCAAAUUGAA